CCUACGGGGGGCAGCAGUGGGGAAUAUUGGACAAUGGGGGGAACCCUGAUCCAGCGACGCCGCGUGAGUGAAGAAGUAUCUCGGUAUGUAAAGCUCUAUCAGCAGGGAAGAAAGAAAUGACGGUACCUGACUAAGAAGCCCCGGCUAACUACGUGCCAGCAGCCGCGGUAAUACGUAGGGGGCAAGCGUUAUCCGGAUUUACUGGGUGUAAAGGGAGCGUAGACGGCUGAGCAAGUCUGAAGUGAAAGGCGGGGGCCCAACCCCCGGACUGCUUUGGAAACGGUAUAGCUAGAGUGCAGGAGAGGUAAGUGGAAUUCCUAGUGUAGCGGUGAAAUGCGUAGAGAUUAGGAGGAACACCAGUGGCGAAGGCGGCUCACUGGACUGUAACUGACGUUGAGGCUCGAAAGCGUGGGGAGCAAACAGGAUUAGAUACCCCAGUAGUC
This 443-nucleotide ribosomal RNA is filed under the name uncultured bacterium. Its description in RNAcentral is "partial 16S ribosomal RNA". It matches the Rfam family "Bacterial small subunit ribosomal RNA", at positions 338 to 795 of the family's 1533-position model. The record is from RNAcentral.